GAGGGUGCAAGCGUUGUCCGGAAUCAUUGGGCGUAAAGAGUUCGUAGGCGGUUUGUUAAGUCUGGUGUUAAAGCCCGAAGCUCAACUUCGGUUCGGCACUGGAUACUGGCAGACUAGAAUGCGGUAGAGGUAAAGGGAAUUCCUGGUGUAGCGGUGAAAUGCGUAGAUAUCAGGAGGAACAUCGGUGGCGUAAGCGCUUUACUGGGCCGUAAUUGACGCUGAGGAACGAAAGCCGGGGUAGCGAA
RNAcentral lists this ribosomal RNA (245 nucleotides) under uncultured bacterium. RNAcentral describes it as "partial 16S ribosomal RNA". It matches the Rfam family "Bacterial small subunit ribosomal RNA", at positions 528 to 772 of the family's 1533-position model. The record is from RNAcentral.